CCAAACCUGGUUGAUCCUGCCAGUAGUCAUAUGCUUGUCUCAAAGAUUAAGCCACGCAUGUCUAAGUAUAAACAAAUUUGUACUGUGAAACUGCGAAUGGCUCAUUAAAUCAGUUAUAGUUUAUUUGAUGGUAUCUUGCUACAUGGAUAACUGUGGUAAUUCUAGAGCUAAUACAUGCAAUCAAGCCCCGACUUC
RNAcentral lists this ribosomal RNA (195 nucleotides) under uncultured eukaryote. Its description in RNAcentral is "partial 18S ribosomal RNA". It matches the Rfam family "Eukaryotic small subunit ribosomal RNA", at positions 1 to 190 of the family's 1831-position model. The record is from RNAcentral.